UACAGAGGGGGCAAGCGUUAUUCGGAAUUAUUGGGCGUAAAGGGCGCGUAGGCGGCCUGGCAAGUGGAAGGUGAAAUCCCUCGGCUUAACCGAGGAACUGCCUCCCAAACUGCUUGGCUUGAGACCGGGAGAGGUGAGUGGAAUUCCCAGUGUAGCGGUGAAAUGCGUAGAUAUUGGGAGGAACACCAGUGGCGAAGGCGGCUCACUGGACCGGUACUGACACUCAGGGACGACAGCGUGGGGAGCGAACCGG
This 253-nucleotide ribosomal RNA is filed under the name uncultured bacterium. RNAcentral describes it as "partial 16S ribosomal RNA". It matches the Rfam family "Bacterial small subunit ribosomal RNA", at positions 524 to 776 of the family's 1533-position model. The record is from RNAcentral.